RNAcentral lists this ribosomal RNA (468 nucleotides) under uncultured bacterium. Its description in RNAcentral is "partial 16S ribosomal RNA". It matches the Rfam family "Bacterial small subunit ribosomal RNA", at positions 28 to 507 of the family's 1533-position model. The record is from RNAcentral.
GACGAACGCUGGCGGCGUGCUUAACACAUGCAAGUCGAACGGAAAGGCCCUGCUUUUGUGGGGUGCUCGAGUGGCGAACGGGUGAGUAACACGUGAGUAACCUGCCCUUGACUUUGGGAUAACUUCAGGAAACUGGGGCUAAUACCGGAUAGGAGCUCCUGCUGCAUGGUGGGGGUUGGAAAGUUUCGGCGGUUGGGGAUGGACUCGCGGCUUAUCAGCUUGUUGGUGGGGUAGUGGCUUACCAAGGCUUUGACGGGUAGCCGGCCUGAGAGGGUGACCGGCCACAUUGGGACUGAGAUACGGCCCAGACUCCUACGGGAGGCAGCAGUGGGGAAUAUUGCACAAUGGGCGGAAGCCUGAUGCAGCAACGCCGCGUGCGGGAUGACGGCCUUCGGGUUGUAAACCGCUUUCGCCUGUGACGCAGCGUGAGUGACGGUAAUGGGUAAAGAAGCACCGGCUAACUACGUG